Molecule: ribosomal RNA, 253 nt
Filed under: uncultured Blautia sp.
Lineage: Bacteria; Bacillati; Bacillota; Clostridia; Lachnospirales; Lachnospiraceae
Description: partial 16S ribosomal RNA
Rfam family: Bacterial small subunit ribosomal RNA
Source: RNAcentral
UACGUAGGGGGCAAGCGUUAUCCGGAUUUACUGGGUGUAAAGGGAGCGUAGACGGAAUUGCAAGUCUGAUGUGAAAAUCCGGGGCCCAACCCCGGAACUGCAUUGGAAACUGUAUUUCUAGAGUGUCGGAGAGGCAAGUGGAAUUCCGUGUGUAGCGGUGAAAUGCGUAGAUAUACGGAGGAACACCAGUGGCGAAGGCGGCCUGCUGGACAUUAACUGACGCUGAGGCGCGAAAGCGUGGGGAGCAAACAGG